GACGAACGCUGGCGGCGUGCCUAAUACAUGCAAGUCGAGCGAAUGAAGAGGAGCUUGCUCCUCUGAUUUAGCGGCGGACGGGUGAGUAACACGUGGGCAACCUGCCCUGUAGACUGGGAUAACUUCGGGAAACCGGAGCUAAUACCGGAUAAUCCAUUUCACCUCAUGGUGAGAUGUUGAAAGGCGCUUCGGCGUCACUACAGGAUGGGCCCGCGGUGCAUUAGCUAGUUGGUGGGGUAACGGCCUACCAAGGCAACGAUGCAUAGCCGACCUGAGAGGGUGAUCGGCCACAUUGGGACUGAGACACGGCCCAAACUCCUACGGGAGGCAGCAGUAGGGAAUCUUUCACAAUGGACGAAAGUCUGAUGGAGCAACGCCGCGUGAGUGAUGAAGGUUUUCGGAUCGUAAAACUCUGUUGUAAGGGAAGAACAAGUACGUUAGGAAAUGAACGUACCUUGACGG
RNAcentral lists this ribosomal RNA (462 nucleotides) under uncultured bacterium. Its description in RNAcentral is "bacterial SSU rRNA". It matches the Rfam family "Bacterial small subunit ribosomal RNA", at positions 28 to 475 of the family's 1533-position model. The record is from RNAcentral.